This 388-nucleotide ribosomal RNA is filed under the name uncultured bacterium. Its description in RNAcentral is "bacterial SSU rRNA". It matches the Rfam family "Bacterial small subunit ribosomal RNA", at positions 28 to 417 of the family's 1533-position model. The record is from RNAcentral.
GACGAACGCUGGCGGCGUGCUUAACACAUGCAAGUCGAGCGGUAAGGCCCUUUCGGGGGUACACGAGCGGCGAACGGGUGAGUAACACGUGGGUGACCUGCCCUCAGCUCUGGGAUAAGCCUGGGAAACCGGGUCUAAUACUGGAUAUGACUCCAUGACGCAUGUUGUGGGGUGGAAAGCCUUGUGCGGCUGAGGAUGGGCCCGCGGCCUAUCAGCUUGUUGGUGGGGUGAUGGCCUACCAAGGCGACGACGGGUAGCCGGCCUGAGAGGGCGACCGGCCACACUGGGACUGAGACACGGCCCAGACUCCUACGGGAGGCAGCAGUGGGGAAUCUUGCGCAAUGGGCGAAAGCCUGACGCAGCGGCGCCGCGUGAGGGAUGACGGCCU